AAUAGAUACCCCCGGUAGUCCACGCCGUAAACGAUGAGUGCUAAGUGUUAGGGGGUUUCCGCCCCUUAGUGCUGCAGCUAACGCAUUAAGCACUCCGCCUGGGGAGUACGGUCGCAAGACUGAAACUCAAAGGAAUUGACGGGGGCCCGCACAAGCGGUGGAGCAUGUGGUUUAAUUCGAAGCAACGCGAAGAACCUUACCAGGUCUUGACAUCCCACUGACCGCUAUGGAGACAUAGUUUUCCCUUCGGGGACAGUGGUGACAGGUGGUGCAUGGUUGUCGUCAGCUCGUGUCGUGAGAUGUUGGGUUAAGUCCCGCAACGAGCGCAACCCUUGAUCUUAGUUGCCAUCAUUUAGUUGGGCACUCUAAGGUGACUGCCGGUGACAAACCGGAGGAAGGUGGGGAUGACGUCAAAUCAUCAUGCCCCUUAUGACCUGGGCCACACACGUGCUACAAUGGACGGUACAAACGGUUGCCAACCCGCGAGGGGGAGCUAAUCCGAUAAAACCGUUCUCAGUUCGGAUUGUAGGCUGCAACUCGCCUAC
RNAcentral lists this ribosomal RNA (545 nucleotides) under uncultured bacterium. Its description in RNAcentral is "bacterial SSU rRNA". It matches the Rfam family "Bacterial small subunit ribosomal RNA", at positions 777 to 1319 of the family's 1533-position model. The record is from RNAcentral.